GAUGAAGAACGUAGCGAAAUGCGAUAAGUAAUGUGAAUUGCAGAAUUCAGUGAAUCAUCGAAUCUUUGAACGCACAUUGCGCCCCUUGGUAUUCCGAGGGGCAUGCCUGUUCGAGCGUCAUUAUAACCCCUCAAGCUCAGCUUGGUGUUGGGGCCUGCUGCACUGGCAGCCCUUAAAAUCAGUGGCGGCGCCAUCUGGCUCUAAGCGUAGUAAUUCUUCUCGCUAUGGAGUCCUGGUGGAUGCUUGCCAUCAACCCCCAAUUUUUCUAUGGUUGACCUCGGAUCAGGUAGGGAUACCCGCUGAACAUAAGCAUAUCAAUAAGCGGAGGA
RNAcentral lists this unclassified non-coding RNA (329 nucleotides) under soil metagenome. Its description in RNAcentral is "partial contains 5.8S ribosomal RNA, internal transcribed spacer 2, and large subunit ribosomal RNA". The stretch from base 1 to 120 matches the Rfam family "5.8S ribosomal RNA", at positions 35 to 154 of the family's 154-position model. The record is from RNAcentral.